UACGAAGGGGGCUAGCGUUGCUCGGAAUCACUGGGCGUAAAGGGUGCGUAGGCGGGUUUUUAAGUCAGAGGUGAAAUCCUGGAGCUCAACUCCAGAACUGCCUUUGAUACUGAGAAUCUUGAGUAUGGGAGAGGUGAGUGGAACUGCGAGUGUAGAGGUGAAAUUCGUAGAUAUUCGCAAGAACACCAGUGGCGAAGGCGGCUCACUGGCCCAUAACUGACGCUGAGGCACGAAAGCAUGGGGAGCGAACAGG
This 253-nucleotide ribosomal RNA is filed under the name uncultured bacterium. RNAcentral describes it as "partial 16S ribosomal RNA". It matches the Rfam family "Bacterial small subunit ribosomal RNA", at positions 524 to 776 of the family's 1533-position model. The record is from RNAcentral.